RNAcentral lists this ribosomal RNA (730 nucleotides) under Lomentospora prolificans. Its description in RNAcentral is "SSU rRNA". It matches the Rfam family "Eukaryotic small subunit ribosomal RNA", at positions 1 to 750 of the family's 1831-position model. Lineage: Eukaryota; Fungi; Ascomycota; Sordariomycetes; Microascales; Microascaceae. The record is from RNAcentral.
UGGUACAAGAAUGAGAUUAUUGUCCCAAAAAUUAAGCCAUGCAUGUCUAAGUAUAAGCAAUUAUACCGCGAAACUGCGAAUGGCUCAUUAUAUAAGUUAUCGUUUAUUUGAUAGCACAUUACUACAUGGAUAACUGUGGUAAUUCUAGAGCUAAUACAUGCUAAAAAUCCCGACUUCGGAAGGGAUGUAUUUAUUAGAUUAAAAGCCAACGCCCUUCGGGGCUUCCUGGUGAUUCAUAAUAACUUUUCGAAUCGCAUGGCCUUGCGCCGGCGAUGGUUCAUUCAAAUUUCUUCCCUAUCAACUUUCGAUGCGAAGGUAUUGUCUUCGCAUGGUUGCAACGGGUAACGGAGGGUUAGGGCUCGACCCCGGAGAAGGAGCCUGAGAAACGGCUACUACAUCCAAGGAAGGCAGCAGGCGCGCAAAUUACCCAAUCCCGACACGGGGAGGUAGUGACAAUAAAUACUGAUACAGGGCUCUUUUGGGUCUUGUAAUCGGAAUGAGUACAAUUUAAAUCCCUUAACGAGGAACAAUUGGAGGGCAAGUCUGGUGCCAGCAGCCGCGGUAAUUCCAGCUCCAAUAGCGUAUAUUAAAGUUGUUGUGGUUAAAAAGCUCGUAGUUGAACCUUGGGCCUGGCUGGCCGGUCCCCCUCACCGGGUGCACUGAUCCAGCCGGGCCUUUCCCUCUGUGGAACCCCAUGGCCUUCACUGGCUGUGGCGGGGAAACAGGACUU